UUUCCGCAGGUGAACCUGCGGAAGGAUCAUUCAUAAUAAAGUGUUUUAUGGCACUUUUUAAAAAUCCAUAUCCACCUUGUGUGCAAUGUUGGAUCUCGUCAAUCUUGGCGAGAUUUUUAUACAUCAACACAUUUUUUAACUAAUUUGUCUGAAAAAUAUUAUGAAUACUUAAUUCAAAAUACAACUUUCAACAACGGAUCUCUUGGCUCUC
This 211-nucleotide unclassified non-coding RNA is filed under the name plant metagenome. RNAcentral describes it as "partial contains small subunit ribosomal RNA, internal transcribed spacer 1, and 5.8S ribosomal RNA". The record is from RNAcentral.